UACAGCUAUAUCACGUCCAAACACCAGUUUCCGUACGAUCACCGAAGUUAAGCAACGUCGAGCCUGGUCAGUACCUAGAUGGGUAACCGCCGCUUGGGAAUACAAGGUGUAGUAAG
Acanthosepion pharaonis is the source of this 116-nucleotide non-coding RNA. NCBI's taxonomy places the organism in Eukaryota, Metazoa, Mollusca, Cephalopoda, Sepiida, Sepiidae. The record is from the annotation of a GenBank genome assembly.